This 406-nucleotide ribosomal RNA is filed under the name uncultured bacterium. RNAcentral's name for it is "partial 16S ribosomal RNA". It matches the Rfam family "Bacterial small subunit ribosomal RNA", at positions 29 to 526 of the family's 1533-position model. The record is from RNAcentral.
AGUGAACGCUGGCGGCAGGCCUAACACAUGCAAGUCGAACGACUGGCGGACGGGUGAGGAAUACAUCGGAAUCUACUCUCUCGUGGGGGAUAACGUAGGGAAACUUACGCUAAUACCGCAUAUGAUUGAAUGAUCUGAUGUCGGAUUAGCUUGUUGGGGGGGUAAAGGCCCACCAAGGCGACGCUCCGUAGCUGGUCGCAGAGGAUGAUCAGCCACACUGGAACUGAGACACGGGCCAAACUCCUACGGGAGGCAGCAGUGGGAAAUAUUGCACAAGGGGCGCAAGCCUGAUGCAGCCAUGCCGCGUGUAUGAAGAAGGCCUUCGGGUUGUAAAGUACUUUCAGCGGGGAGGCGUUACCCGCAGAAGAAGCACCGGCUAACUCCGUGCCAGCCGCCGCGGUAAUUC